CGAAAGCCUGACGGAGCAAGACCGCGUGAGGGAGGAAGGCCUACUGGUUGUAAACCUCUUUUGAUAGGGAAGAACACAAUGACGGUACCUAUCGAAUCAGCACCGGCUAACUCCGUGCCAGCAGCCGCGGUAAUACGGAGGGUGCAAGCGUUAUCCGGAAUUAUUGGGCGUAAAGCGUCCGUAGGUGGUUUGUCAAGUCAGUUGUUAAAGCGUGGAGCUUAACUCCAUAAGGGCAAUUGAAACUGACAGGCUAGAGUGCGAUAGGGGCAAGGGGAAUUCCCAGUGUAGCGGUGAAAUGCGUAGAUAUUGGGAAGAACAUCGGUGGCGAAAGCGCCUUGCUGGGUCUGCACUGACACUGAGGGACGAAAGC
RNAcentral lists this ribosomal RNA (370 nucleotides) under uncultured cyanobacterium. RNAcentral's name for it is "bacterial SSU rRNA". It matches the Rfam family "Bacterial small subunit ribosomal RNA", at positions 376 to 760 of the family's 1533-position model. Lineage: Bacteria; Bacillati; Cyanobacteriota. The record is from RNAcentral.